Molecule: long non-coding RNA, 555 nt
Filed under: Heterocephalus glaber (naked mole-rat)
Lineage: Eukaryota; Metazoa; Chordata; Mammalia; Rodentia; Bathyergidae
Description: lncRNA (ENSHGLG00100037765.1)
Source: RNAcentral
GAGGGCGGGAGGAAGGAGUGGGAAGAGGGGCGGGGACAGCGGGGCCGAGGGAGGGGAGAAGGCAGUUGAAGCACUGGUGUCGGGGAGCUGCCGUCAAGCCAGAGCCGCGGAGAAGGAGUUCGCGAAAGCGGCAGUUGGCACCUCUUCCCUCCGCGCUCCCGGCCCCAGCUGAGCGGCACCGCGGCUAGUCUGAGGCGCUCUCCGCGUACUUCCCCAGCCGCGCCGCGAGAUGGUCCUGCGCCCCCGAAGCCCCGCGCCGCCGCCGCCCUCGCGCUGAGGAGGAGUUGAAGGAGCCUACAUUUUUGUAUUGGAUUGAGUAAUGGAUAUAUAAUGAAAACCACAAUGCACCAUUCUAUUUUACCUCUCCAUCAAGGUUUAGAUAGAUAAAUGUAGCAGGUGCAUAUUUGUGAAGCUGGUUAAUAUCUCUUUUGAGAGGCUUUGUGGCAUGUGGGAAUAGUUUAUUCCGAACUCAAGGUGAUAAAAAUAUGGUUAAGGAAUGCACUGGUACAUGGUAUCUGAAUUCGGCAACUAUACUGGGGAAUGGAUUUAUUAGAG